AUUACAGCCAAAGUUAAAUUGAUAUUGAUGUAUGAUGUCUUUACUGUCUGUUUCCCCAGUGCCUAGAACAGGGCUUGGCAUGUGGUAGGCACAUGACAAAUAAGUCCUGUGCUAAUCUCUUUAGAUGUCUCAAUCAUCUCCUUUACUCUAAACCAAAACCCAUCAGAGCAGGUAUUAUCCCCAAGUCUCUGAGGUGAGUAAUUGGUGAAUAAUUGGCUCUGAGUGGUUAAGUAUAGUCCCUUAACCACUGUGCCAUUCUUCCCCUGCCAGGUACCUCUUCUCCCACUUAAAUGAUUUCUCAGCAUGCCAGGAGAUCCGAGACUUGUUGGAGGAGCUGAGCCAGGUCUUGCAUGAGGAUGGUCCAGCGACUGAGAAGGAGGGCACAGUCCUGAGGAUCGUGAGUCUGUGGGGUGGGAAGAGAGUGGGGGUAGGGGCGAUCGGGCUCAGGCUACAUAGCCCGCUCCCCUCCCCCAGUGCAGCCACGUGGCUGGGAUCUGCCACAACAUCCUGGUCUGCUGCCCCAAGGAGCUGCUGGAACAGAGGGCCGUGCUCGAGCAGGUGCAGCUGGACAGUCCAUUGGGCCUAGAAAUUCACACCACCAGCAAUUGCCAGCACUUUGUGUCCCAAGUGGACACCCAG
This 639-nucleotide small RNA is filed under the name Pan troglodytes (chimpanzee). Its description in RNAcentral is "retained intron". Lineage: Eukaryota; Metazoa; Chordata; Mammalia; Primates; Hominidae. The record is from RNAcentral.